ACAACAGGGAUUGCCCUAGUAACGGCGAGUGAAGCGGCAACAGCUCAAAUUUGAAAUCUGGCCCUCGGGUCCGAAUUGUAAUUUGUAGAGGAUGCUUUUGGCGCGGUGCCUACCGAGUUCCCUGGAACGGGACGCCUUAGAGGGUGAGAGCCCCGUACGGUUGGACACCAAGCCUCUGUAAAGCUCCUUCGACGAGUCGAGUAGUUUGGGAAUGCUGCUCUAAAUGGGAGGUAAAUUUCUUCUAAAGCUAAAUAUUGGCCAGAGACCGAUAGCGCACAAGUAGAGUGAUCGAAAGAUGAAAAGCACUUUGAAAAGAGGGUUAAAUAGCACGUGAAAUUGUUGAAAGGGAAGCGUUUGCGACCAGACCUUUUCCCGGCGGAUCAUCCGGUGUUCUCACCGGUGCACUUCGCCGGGUUUAGGCCAGCAUCGGUUUUUGUAGGGGGAUAAAAGCUUUGGGAACGUAGCUCCCUCGGGAGUGUUAUAGCCCUUUGCAUAAUACCCUUACGGGGACCGAGGACCGCGCUUCUGCAAGGAUGCUGGCGUAAUGGUCGUCAACGACCCG
This 562-nucleotide ribosomal RNA is filed under the name uncultured fungus. Its description in RNAcentral is "eukaryotic LSU rRNA". It matches the Rfam family "Eukaryotic large subunit ribosomal RNA", at positions 65 to 651 of the family's 3401-position model. Lineage: Eukaryota; Fungi. The record is from RNAcentral.